RNAcentral lists this ribosomal RNA (253 nucleotides) under uncultured bacterium. RNAcentral's name for it is "partial 16S ribosomal RNA". It matches the Rfam family "Bacterial small subunit ribosomal RNA", at positions 524 to 776 of the family's 1533-position model. The record is from RNAcentral.
UACGGAGGGAGCUAGCGUUGUUCGGAAUUACUGGGCGUAAAGCGCACGUAGGCGGCUUUGUAAGUUAGAGGUGAAAGCCCGGGGCUCAACUCCGGAACUGCCUUUAAGACUGCAUCGCUUGAAUCCAGGAGAGGUGAGUGGAAUUCCGAGUGUAGAGGUGAAAUUCGUAGAUAUUCGGAAGAACACCAGUGGCGAAGGCGGCUCACUGGACUGGUAUUGACGCUGAGGAGCGAAAGCAUGGGGAGCGAACAGG